AUGGCAAAAUUUAUUAAAGUACACUUUCAAGAUUUCACAAUUAAUCCCAUUCUCCUGGGCUAUAAGUUAAUGGACAUUUUCCCAGACUUCAAGAACAAAGUAUAGCCAGCCAGCUGGCCUUUCAUGGACAAUGGACAUUCUUGCACAGGGGUAUCUUAGAAUUAUGUAUUUCAAACAUCUGAAGGACCUUCAGUUAUCCCCACUAACAUCCCUCUUGCUGUUGCCCUUCCUGUCACCUUCAGACAGCUGCAGAGAAGCUUUUGUUCAGAUACAGAAAUUCCCCAGUUUUGACCUCUCCCGCAGGCAGGUUGUCUCCUCUUGCAAAUCCUCCUCUACCAUUUUGAAUUACACAAUAUUUAGCAGUCUGUGCAAGUGCAAAAUAGCCAAGGCAUUUUGAUGGUUCAGAAUAGUGUCCUCUCCACUGGGCUGUAUGUAUACAUUUUGUUUUAUUUUUUCCAAGUAGUGUAGUGAAAAAGAAAGGGUUCACCAUGUUUUCUCAGCUUCAGUAAGACAGACAUCAGUGUUCAACCCUGUACCUAAACCAGAGCAUUAAUUUAGGAUCUUGGCUCCUUUCAGGGAUGGUGUUUUACCCCUCCAGAUCACCAGAUCUUUUGUUCUCCAGGCCCAACUCAUGUAAAAGCCAUGUUUUCCAGUUGUGCUGGCUCUGAUUCGGGGAGCCCUGUGACAGUCCUGUGCUCUCCAGCAGCACCUUGACAACAUUUCUGUUGACUCAGACUAUUUGCUUCCAGUCCGCCAAACUUUGUUCCUCUAAGCACAGAUUUUUCUCUUCAGCUAUUCUUUCCAAAAGUUAGCUUGCUCCUAUGAAGAUGUUAGAUCUGAUUUAUCCAAAAUCUUCAGUGUGUAAUUCUUCCCACAAUGGUUCAUAACAUUCUUCAUUCAGUACUCUCCUGAAAACCCAAGCCUGUAUUUCUUUUUCUGCAGUGUUUGUUUUACCACCAGUAAUGUGUAACUCCCACAUGCCGUAGGCACACACAUCAGCUUAGUGCCUUUGCUCUUCUGCGUCUCUGGAAAGAGGUUUUCUGACAUUCCUGAAUGCAACUGCACCCUUCUCCUAAGUCAGAAAACUUCUCUCACACAGGUUAUGUUAUCAGCUGUAGAAGCCAGGCUGAAGC
This 1133-nucleotide long non-coding RNA is filed under the name Strigops habroptila (Kakapo). RNAcentral describes it as "lncRNA (ENSSHBG00005017879.1)". Lineage: Eukaryota; Metazoa; Chordata; Aves; Psittaciformes; Psittacidae. The record is from RNAcentral.